GAUCCACUACAGUCGAGUUCAAACUGACAGUGACCUCACAGGGAGAACAAGGCGGUGUUAUUAAAGCCACAGAGCGGGUGGACCGGUACAGAGAAUCACACAAAAAAAAAAAGACUUAAUUUUCUGUUUUGAGGUGUGAUAAAGAGCAAAUGGAGCAAAAGGGGUUUAUUAUCGGUCGUCAGCACAGCUCCUGUGUGGAGAAAAUAAAGAAACUAACACAGAGGUUAAACUAUGUAGCGUUAGUUUGAAGCAAAGCGUUCUUUGGCCAAUUCAAAAAUAAUUGAAAACUACCACCGGAAGUGGUUUGGCACUCUAAACUGAAAUCAAACGUCACAUCUCUAUAGAUUUUACAAGCGUUGCACAUGUGUGUUUUCGCAUAUUCCACCAAGUCCGUUCUAGCCAGUACCUCAUCUGAAACCAGUUCUUUGGGUUUCAACCUUCAAGAGGACAGAAAAAAAAACGGUUCCACAGUAGCACCAUCUCCUUACUGGUCUACGAGAACGAAAAGCUCGAUGCAUGCAGUCGUAACCUGAAGAGAGGGAAAUAUUCAAACAUAGAGCCAACACUCUUUGAAGGGGUUAAACUAAAUGUUGCUCCAAACCUCGACCACAAAGGUACACAGCUUAGCUUCUGUGUCGUUCCUCCGACCGGCUUCACUAAAUGACCUCCGUUUCAUUAAGAGCUUCAUAAAACACCACUUUAAAGCAUCCUGAUUAUUCCUUAAAGAAGCAGGAAGUUCACUACUCGGCCUGCUUCAGCUAAACGUUUGGAGUUAGUGAGAGCGCCCUCUCUCUUCACUGAGUUCAAACUGCACAACAGAAUCCUAGAAAAGAAAAGAAGCUGUCUUUACUGCGUGUCCUUUAUAAGAUGUCAGCGUUGCACACGCUCAUAAACUGCAUAUGCACCACAUGAAUCUGGAACCAAAGUUCUAGUUGCACAACCUCCGUUUUGCAAGUGCAAACUCUCUGUACUCGUCCAUCGUUCUUUGUUCUUCUCAUGAGGUUCACAUGAAAAUCUCCUUUUUGUACAAAGUGUAAAGCUGAUUGAGUGUCCUGGCAUGCAGACGUGUUAUUGUUGUUGUUUUGACGCCGGCUGAGUCUCUGUGGUGAUCCGUGUUUUAAUGUGUUUGUUGUUCAUUGCUUGACAAUGAAUUCCUCGCGUCUUGUGUUUUUUUUUUAACAAGCCAUUGUUUUGCUGGAAACAGAAAGGCUCAGGCUCCCUCUGUGGCACCCUGGAAACAUGUUAAAUAUUUAUCAGCUUCUCUGAGACUCGCAGAGAUACAGCCCGGUGUAAUUUACUUUCAGGAUGUGUCAUGUUUUCACCAUUAAACACAAAAGACGUGUUUCCUAAUUUCUCCACCGUGCAGUUAAACUGGACGAUUGAUGUGGAACGGCUCAUCCUGCUGUUUUACUGCCUCAUUAUAGCGUCCUCUCUGGCUGUUUCCACAGUCGAUACUGUCGCUUCUCUGCAGUCCUGCACUGUGUCUCUAUUUAAAAUGUCGGCCCUCUCCUCGUUAUUACAGAGGUUGGUGUGUUCAGUUAAACAGACACAGCUAGAAGCCCUCUGGUGCAGCUUCACCAGCAGGGUGCCAGCAGAGAAGCCUCGUCUGAGCCUGAGCCUUUCCCCCCCUCCCUCCUCGCUCCCGUGCAGCCACGCCCUCCACCGCACCCACCCAGUCCACACAUGCAUGUAACCCUGCCAGCCUUAACGUGCACACUAAUGGACCACGUGUGUCACUACAUGUUUGAGAAAUGUCUGUUAACCUGACCUGUGCUGCUCUCUCUGAGUAACAUGAAGUAGAACGGCGGGCAGGGUGUUUGUUUGUUGGCUGCUGUGUGAAUGUGAAUGCUCUUCGUACACACAUGUUCAUAACACAGCUUCUUCAAACUGCUUCAUUUUACACUCCAGCAAAUGUUCGGCAUGCGUAUUCACCCGAGUGUGCACCUGCUUGUUUUUGAAACAUUUGAUGGCAUGAGGACGACCUCAGAAGCGUUUUGCAUUCACAUGAGGAAAUACAAAUCUGCUUCUCUGAGUGACGAGGUGCAGCGUCUCUCGGCUGAACAACUUCAGUGUUUCAGGUCGUCACAGUGUCGAAGUUAAAAGUGUCUCUGAAAGUCGUUUUCUAUCAGCUGCUCGUCUCACAUUUGGAUAGACUGAAAUCAUGCUGACUUCAAAUCAAAGACCAACCGAGUGAAAAUAAUCAACUUUGUUUCUAUGUGUAAAUCCGUCUCUCUGCUCUCAAUCUGCUGCUUGUCGUACGUCGGCCAUGUUGACUGCUUUCAUCCACGUUGGCUCUGAGUUCUCGCUGUUGCUCACAGACAUCCCGUUCACAAGACGCCUCUUCUCCACCAGUUUCCCCCGACGUCUCUGUUUCACUGUGAUGGAUCUUUCACUCCAUUUCAGGAAGUCUGUCACGUUUGAUGCACACGGACGUAGACUUUAAAAAAAACAUCUUUUCUACGAGUAAUCGGUCAUAGAGUGAGGUCGAAAAGUCGUUCUUAAAAGAGACAUACUAAAAAUAAAGAUAAUUAUAAACCCUCUUCAACUGAUUAAAUCCAAAGUGAUGAGUCUGUUUUGAAAAUGUCAGGAGUGGAAAGAAAUUAUAUUUGUGUGAAAGUGUCAAAGGUCAAAGUUCUGAUACGUGUGAAGGUGACCUCUGCAGAGUCAUCACGUCGUUUUUGCAUGUUUGUAAGAUACUCAGCUAAUGUGUGUGUCAGUGAUCCUGUGGUUUGCUUCAGGUUGGACAGUAGGUGUGUGUGUUUAAACAGCAUGCUUUGACCCAGUGUGUGUGUGUCUGUGUGUGUGUCGUGCUUUGUGCUCGGUGUGCUGCCUCUUAGUUUGCACGCUCUCUAGAUUUCCUCCUUCGUUGCUUUCUGCUUCCUUGUGUGUCACUAACCUGUUUCAUUGUUGAUUACUUUGCCAUGACAACCAAUCAGCCUGUCAAUCAAAUUUCCCUCUCUCGCUCAGUGGAUUGUACUCUCUCUCUCUCUCUCUCUCUCUUUCUUCAGCUCUCAGUUCAGACAGUCAGUGGGGGGGGGGACGUAGAUAACAUGCAGGGUGAGAAGAGACGAGGGUACAGAAGAUGUUUUACUUAUUAUCAGGAUGUUUAAUUAAACCGAUCUCAGCUUUAUAAGAACAACAAUUUCUUUUAGUGCACUUCUCAAAACUCAAGUGACAGCGUCCUCCAUGGAAACAGAGGACAUUUAAAGAGCAGAGGAUGCAAAGAUAACUUUAUUUGAAUGAACCUUUAUCAACAGACGUUUACAAAGAGCUUUGACAGACAAAGAAAAGGCAGGAAGUCAGGAAGAUAACAGAACAAACAUUUCAACAGUCGGGAGCGUUUAGAAAACUCCACAGAGAGGAAACACAAACGCAGAAGUUUAACGAGAGUAAAUGCAAAUAAAAGGAAAAAAUAAAUGUGAUAAAAUACAUUGAAGAUCAUAUGUAUAGAUGUGUUGCAGGAGUUUUGAAUUAAUUAAAAUGUAGAUGCUGAUGUAGAAAGUUUUUUAUUCGAUAGGACAGCUUUCCAAGCUCCUCUUAUUUUCAUAAUGGACAGAAUCAAAGGUAAACUCCUGCACGCAGUCUAACCUGCUAACAAACAUUUAUUGGCAACGCUUCGGUACUAGACCUUCAUCAGGCAAACAGUUCGUAAAAAUGGGCGGGACAUUUUAAAUUCCUGUAACCAAUCAUUAAGACGUCAGCCCUGAAUCAUCAGAUUAAUAAACAUCAGCUUCCUGGUUGAGAGCACAAACCAAAAAUUCUAAUAAGAAAAUGGUGAAAGCCUGAGAGGCGACUCUGAACGACCUCUCACUUCAUCAUCGGUUCAGCGGAUACUCAAGAUCCCAAAGUAGUUUAUUUGUUUACGUUUUGUGAAACAACAUCUGUUUCAUAAGACAGAUGUGCCGGAGAGAAUCCAUCAAAUCCUCAAAGUAAACUCCUGCACACGGUCUACAUUCUACAGAUUCAUCGGCUACACUAACAUGUUUAGGCGUUCAGACGGCGUGCAGGAGAUUUUAUGUUGUUGCUGUUAAAGUUAAAAACUCUGGUCUCGUUCAUGUCAACACCUCGUCAUCACACUCUGUCGGUGUCAGGGCGCAGCUUUCAGAGAUGCUGAUGUUUGCAGAUGUCUCUGGUCUGCAGUGCACAGUCAUCGCUGUGCUGCAGCGUGCCAGCUUCAGAGUUUCUGGUACCCAAAGAGGAAACAGCUGAGUCACCGUGACGAUCUCCUCUGCACCACUGACCUGCUCGUCUCCGUGCAGAAACUCAGAAACACUGCAGCUGCACUUUCAGAAAGUUUCUGAUCCACGCAGCUCGACUUAAAUUCAUCCAUUUAGAACCUUUAUAUAAACGUGCAAAACUUAAAGUGCUUCAGGUACGAAUGAUUAAAUCAAAACAGGAAACGAACAACAAAGACUUUCAAACUUCAAAGUUAGAGCUCCAAGACUCGAGGAAGUUCUUUAUGUCACACGCUCAUACAGACGGGCAGAGAUAUGCAAUAAAAACAACAACAGCAUAAAAGCUCAAAAAGCAAUAAAGAAAGAUCUUUCAAAUGUUUAGAUCCAGAUUCUUUAUCGUCCCACAGAAGACAAGAAACACAAGGACAACAUCACCGUAAAAUCAGAAUCACGAUAAAACAACGAUAACAACCCGGACUCCUCCUUUAAAAUAACUUAAUAUAAUAUUAAACAUGUUUGAUAUUUCUGAGAACAGAUCGAGGAGGCUCCAACCUCGGAGUGACAUCACACACGCUCCAAUCAGGCCACGCCCCCAAUCGUUGGUGUGUAACCAGCCUGAGCUGUAAAUAGGUGGCUUCAGUUUGAGGUUCAUUAAGAACCAGAUUCUCUCCGAGGAGAAUAAAAGAGAUGAAGGUUUUUAAUAUACAGGUGUGUAGUGCAGGUAUGUAGUUUCUGUUAAGUUGUAGGUGUGUAGUUUAGGUUUAGUUGUAGGUGUGUAGUUUAGGUUAAGUUAUAGGUGUGUAGUUUAGGUGUGUAGUUUAGGUUUAGUUGUAUGUGUGUAGUGCAGGUUAAGGUGUAGGUGUAUAGUACAGGUGUGUAGUUGAGGCGUGUAGUUGAGGUGUGUAGUUUAGGUUAAGUUGUAGGUGUGUAGUUUAGGUUAAGUUGUAGGUGUGUAGUUUAGGUUUAGUUGUAGGUGUGUAGUUUAGGUUAAGUUGUAGGUGUGUAGUUUAGGUGUGUAGUUUAGGUUAAGUUGUAUGUGUGUAGUGCAGGUUAAGGUGUAGGUGUAUAGUACAGGUGUGUA
Long non-coding RNA from Labrus mixtus (cuckoo wrasse), 5256 nucleotides. RefSeq lists it as uncharacterized. Lineage: Eukaryota; Metazoa; Chordata; Actinopteri; Labriformes; Labridae. The transcript is spliced from 3 exons. The record is from RefSeq and is a predicted model, not a curated record.